GACGAACGCUGGCGGCGUGCUUAACACAUGCAAGUCGAACGGAGCGAAUGAAAGCUUGCUUUUAUGAGCUUAGUGGCAAACGGGUGAGUAACACGUAGACAACCUGCCGACAGGAUGGGGACAACAUUCCGAAAGGAAUGCUAAUACCGAAUGAAGUCAGAGGAGGGCAUCCUCCUCUGAUGAAAGAUGGCCUCUUUUUAUGCUAUCACCUGUUGAUGGGUCUGCGUCUGAUUAGCUGGUUGGUGAGGUAACGGCUCACCAAGGCGACGAUCAGUAGCCGGUCUGAGAGGAUGAACGGCCACAUUGGGACUGAGACACGGCCCAGACUCCUACGGGAGGCAGCAGUGGGGAAUCUUCCGCAAUGGGCGCAAGCCUGACGGAGCAACGCCGCGUGAGUGAAGAAGGUCUUCGGAUCGUAAAGCUCUGUUGACGGGGACGAACGUGCGGAGUGCGAAUAGCGC
Molecule: ribosomal RNA, 461 nt
Filed under: Selenomonas sp. oral taxon 149
Lineage: Bacteria; Bacillati; Bacillota; Negativicutes; Selenomonadales; Selenomonadaceae
Description: bacterial SSU rRNA
Rfam family: Bacterial small subunit ribosomal RNA
Source: RNAcentral